UCCACUGUUGGGUGCCUGGGAUCUG
RNAcentral lists this microRNA (25 nucleotides) under Canis lupus familiaris (dog). RNAcentral's name for it is "cfa-miR-8854". Lineage: Eukaryota; Metazoa; Chordata; Mammalia; Carnivora; Canidae. The record is from miRBase by way of RNAcentral.